UACGAAGGGGGCUAGCGUUGCUCGGAAUUACUGGGCGUAAAGAGCGCGUAGGCGGUCUGUUAAGUGAGAAGUGAAAUCUCCAGGGCUCAACCCGGAAACUGCUUUUCAUACUGGCAGACUUGAGGGAUGCAGAGGUGAAUGGAAUUCCUGGUGUAGCGGUGAAAUGCGUUGAUAUCAGGAGGAACACCCAUGGCGAAGGCAGUUCACUGGGCAUCAACUGACGCUGAGGCGCGAAAGCGUGGGUAGCAAACAGG
Molecule: ribosomal RNA, 254 nt
Filed under: uncultured bacterium
Lineage: Bacteria
Description: partial 16S ribosomal RNA
Rfam family: Bacterial small subunit ribosomal RNA
Source: RNAcentral